RNAcentral lists this ribosomal RNA (499 nucleotides) under uncultured bacterium. RNAcentral's name for it is "partial 16S ribosomal RNA". It matches the Rfam family "Bacterial small subunit ribosomal RNA", at positions 28 to 507 of the family's 1533-position model. The record is from RNAcentral.
GACGAACGCUGGCGGCGUGCCUAAUACAUGCAAGUCGAGCGAAGUUUUUCUGGUGCUUGCACUAGAAAAACUUAGCGGCGAACGGGUGAGUAACACGUAAAGAACCUGCCUCAUAGACUGGGACAACUAUUGGAAACGAUAGCUAAUACCGGAUAACAGUAUUUCUCGCAUGAGAGAUAUUUAAAAGUUGGUUAUGCUAACACUAUGAGAUGGCUUUGCGGUGCAUUAGCUAGUUGGUGGGGUAAAGGCCCACCAAGGCGACGAUGCAUAGCCGACCUGAGAGGGUGAUCGGCCACACUGGGACUGAGACACGGCCCAGACUCCUACGGGAGGCAGCAGUAGGGAAUCUUCCGCAAUGGGCGAAAGCCUGACGGAGCAACGCCGCGUGAGUGAAGAAGGAGUUCGGUUCGUAAAGCUCUGUUGUUAGGGAAGAAUGGAUAUGUAGUAACUGUACAGGUAAGAGACGGUACCUAAGCAGAAAGCCACGGCUAACUACGUG